UACGUAGGGUGCGAGCGUUGUCCGGAAUUAUUGGGCGUAAAGAGCUUGUAGGCGGUCUGUCGCGUCUGCCGUGAAAUUUCGGGGCUCAACCCCGAACUUGCGGUGGGUACGGGCAGACUAGAGUGUGGUAGAGGAGACUGGAAUUCCUGGUGUAGCGGUGAAAUGCGCAGAUAUCAGGAGGAACACCGAUGGCGAAGGCAGGUCUCUGGGCCACUACUGACGCUGAGAAGCGAAAGCAUGGGGAGCGAACAGG
Molecule: ribosomal RNA, 253 nt
Filed under: uncultured bacterium
Lineage: Bacteria
Description: partial 16S ribosomal RNA
Rfam family: Bacterial small subunit ribosomal RNA
Source: RNAcentral